Molecule: ribosomal RNA, 108 nt
Filed under: Salmonella enterica subsp. enterica serovar Dublin
Lineage: Bacteria; Pseudomonadati; Pseudomonadota; Gammaproteobacteria; Enterobacterales; Enterobacteriaceae
Source: RNAcentral
AAGUAGCGCGGUGGUCCCACCUGACCCCAUGCCGAACUCAGAAGUGAAACGCCGUAGCGCCGAUGGUAGUGUGGGGUCUCCCCAUGCGAGAGUAGGGAACUGCCAGGC